GGAAAGUUGCCGGAGUGGUCGAACGGGGCAGACUCGAAAUCUGUUGAUCCCUUUUUUGGGGUCCGGGGGUUCGAAUCCCUCACUUUCCG
RNAcentral lists this transfer RNA (89 nucleotides) under Bacteroidales bacterium. RNAcentral describes it as "tRNA-Ser". It matches the Rfam family "tRNA". From Rfam's summary of the family: Transfer RNA (tRNA) molecules are approximately 80 nucleotides in length. Their secondary structure includes four short double-helical elements and three loops (D, anti-codon, and T loops). Further hydrogen bonds mediate the characteristic L-shaped molecular structure. tRNAs have two regions of fundamental functional importance: the anti-codon, which is responsible for specific mRNA codon recognition, and the 3' end, to which the tRNAs corresponding amino acid is attached (by aminoacyl-tRNA synthetases). tRNAs cope with the degeneracy of the genetic code in two manners: having more than one tRNA (with a specific anti-codon) for a particular amino acid; and 'wobble' base-pairing, i.e. permitting non-standard base-pairing at the 3rd anti-codon position. Lineage: Bacteria; Pseudomonadati; Bacteroidota; Bacteroidia; Bacteroidales. The record is from RNAcentral.